RNAcentral lists this ribosomal RNA (407 nucleotides) under uncultured bacterium. RNAcentral describes it as "partial 16S ribosomal RNA". It matches the Rfam family "Bacterial small subunit ribosomal RNA", at positions 28 to 526 of the family's 1533-position model. The record is from RNAcentral.
GACGAACGCUGGCGGCGUGCCUAAUACAUGCAAGUAGGACGCAGUUGCGAACGGGUGAGUAACGCGUAGGUAACUACCUAUUAGAGGGGGAUAACUAUUGGAAACGAUAGCUAAUACCGCAUACUAGUAGAUGGACCUGCGUUGGAUUAGCUAGUAGGUAGGGUAAUGGCCUACCUAGGCAACGGUACAUAGCCGAGCUGAGAAGGUGGUCGGCCAAACUGGGACUGAGAAACGGCCCAGACUCCUACGGGAGGCAGCCAUAGGGGAUCUUCGGCAAUGGGGGGAACCCUGACCGAGCAACGCCGGGGGAGUGAAGAAGGUUUUCGGGUCGUAAAGCUAUGUUGUUAAGGAAGCGGUACCGGAAUAGAAAGCCACGGCUAACUACGUGCCAGCAGCCGCGGUAAUAC